CCUACGGGUGGCAGCAGUAGGGAAUCUUCCACAAUGGGCGCAAGCCUGAUGGAGCAACGCCGCGUGGGUGAAGAAGGUCUUCGGAUCGUAAAACUCUAUCAGCAGGGAAGAAAAUGACGGUACCUGACUAAGAAGCCCCGGCCAACUACGUGCCAACAGCCGGGGGAAUUCGUAGGGGGCAAGCGUUAAUCGGAUUUACUGGGUGUAAAGGGACCGUAGACGGCAGCACCAGGCUGGAGUGAAAUCCCGGGGCUUAACCCCGGAACUGCUUUGGAAACUGGGCGGCUGGAGUGCAGGAGGGGUAAGCGGAAUUCCUAGUGUAGCGGUGAAAUGCGUAGAUAUUAGGAGGAACACCGGUGGCGAAGGCGGCUUACUGGACUGUAACUGACGUUGAGGCUCGAAAGCGUGGGGAGCAAACAGGAUUAGAUACCCCUGUAGUC
Molecule: ribosomal RNA, 440 nt
Filed under: uncultured bacterium
Lineage: Bacteria
Description: partial 16S ribosomal RNA
Rfam family: Bacterial small subunit ribosomal RNA
Source: RNAcentral